UCCACUGAUUAAUUUUUUAAAUCAUAAAAUCAACUCUUUAAUAAAAAUCAAGUUUAUCCUUUGCAAAAUCUUACACGGUCAUCCCCCCAAGUCAUGGGCUGAGGGAGUAGCCUCGUUUUCUAAUACCAGUUUUCCAUAAGCUCAUUUAUUAUAUGCCCUUAGUGUAGAGCUGACAUCUUUUGACAUCUGUAAGUACAUGAGUUUUUCCUUUCUGACCAUGAUUUUUUUUUAAUCUUCGCUUGUUUUUAUACCUGUUUGUAUGACUUAUUUAGGAUGUAUGAUAUGCUUAAAAUGUCAUUUUGCUUGCUCUAAGAAAUUUGAACACCAUCUUAAAGGCUACCUAUUCUCUGAAGGACACUGAAGAACUGCCACAUAAACUGGAGCUGAACUCCAUUCUCUGUGCAAAUUGAUGGUAAAGCCUUCUUCACAUUGAAAUGUCAGCAGUGACAAGUCUGCAUAUAUCCUAUUAUCCAGCAAAUACUUAGGCCUGUGCUUGGCUUGUGGCUUCAGAAACCUGUAGCACAUUCUCUUCAUCAAAGAGAAGGCAUUAGCAGGCACCAUUACAAUUCCCUUGAAUCUGGUUUAACCUUAGAGAAGGAUCAGGAUUGAUUUCCUGCUGGGUGGUAAGAUGGGGACUUACCUGAUUUAAUUUAAAAGAAUAAAUAAUUGGACAUUUCUUCCAUACUCAAAUACUACACUGUACUGCUUGUUCUAGAAGGCUCUACAGACUCAGAGCAAAAGCUACACUUUAGGACCCCACCAUUUCUUCCCAGGACUGUACAGCAAUCUUCUGUAGCUGAUGUAUUCAUCUGUACAGUCCUUUCUUUGCCCCCCACCUGACCAUAAUCUGCACAGCAUGCUCAGUGAUCCUGUUAGAGUGCAAAUCUGAUGUACAGCAGUUCCUCAAUUUAGGCACACCAACAGCCAGCAGGCCAAAUCUGCCUGGCAACUUUUUUUUGGCCUAAUUUCAAUGCCUUUAAGCAGGUAAGUACCACAAGCCCUACCACUAACUACUGUAUGUAUUGAUUACAUUCAUUCAGAUUCACACUUUCUACCUGCCCGGCCCCUCCCUAUAAGAUGUGAAUUGGUCAACUCCUGCCCUACAGUCCCAAUAUUGCAGCUGGCAUGAUCUUUCCAAAAUGAAGAUGAGGCCAUAUUUCUGCCUUGCUAUGCUUAAAAAAUAUAGCCAUUAAUGGGUUACUCUUUGUCUAGAUGUUUUCAUUCAGGAAAUAUUUACGGUGUACCCACAGUGUGGCCGGCACUGUUGUUUCUAGGUGCCAGGCAUACUGCAGUGAACAGAACAGACCAACAUCUGUGCCUUCAUAAAGCUUAAAUUUCAUCAAAAGAGACAAGUGCUAUAGAGAUAAUGCACAGGAGAGGAAUAGGGACAAUGGUGGGGUGCAAUUUCAGAUAGGCUGGCCAGGGAAGGCCCACAGAGGAGGGCAUCUGCUGUAAAGACAUUAAAGGGGGAUGCACCCCAGACAGAAGCAGAUACAGUGGCCCUGGAAUGCUAGAGGGCUGUCCCCUCCAGUAUCUCCUCAGUCGAAUACUAGUUGUUCCAGGAAUCAGCUCAAAUGUCUUUUCUCCAAGGAACUUAUUCCUACCAUUCUCGGGAUGAUAUUCCUCUUCGACAUAUCUCAGAUAGUUUCAUGAAUCUGUCAUCAUUUGUAGAUAUUGUCCUCAAAACUAUUCACUGGAAAAAACUGCCUGAAGGAUAAGCACACAUGAUGAGGCAUUCCUGAUGAGAUUCUCCUUUGGCAUUCUAAUCUAGGGAUGUUAUCUAGAAUUCUUUGGGAAGAAAAGAUUUUGGAAUUAAAGUCCACAUUUUAUCAGCUGAAGGAAGUUGGACAAAUUCCUUAGCUUUGUCUAAACCGCUAUUUGUGCAAUAGUAAAGUGUCGGAAUAUUCAAAGAUAUGGUGAAGGCCUAACUCCAUGAAAGAACACAGUAGACCCUCAGUAAAUAAUUGCGUUUCAUGCAAACUGCUUCCCAUCAUCUCCACCAUCCUCCAACGGCUGCUACUCCCACAAGAGCGCCCCAUCAGUACGGCUGGAAAGGCCCAUCUGCUUUGCCUUUGCAGAUUUAACCAGCUACCAGCUCAAUCCAUGGUGUACAAACUCAGAAUGAAGAAUGGCAUUCAACAGGCAUAUUGUGAUGAUGAGCUUGGUACCACUAAGGUUAUUACAAACAGACACGGUGUAACAAGAACCUACUAUGGUGGUUAAGAGCAAAGGUCUUUUGAGCCUGGCUGAUUGGGAUUUGAAUGUGGGUUUCAUAACCACACUGGACAAUUUACCUUACUCCGCUCCAUCUGUUAAAUAUGGUUUUGCCAGGUCUCUGCUACAGGCUGGCUGCCAGCCCCAGUGAGCUCGGUCUAGCUUGAUGGAUGGGUGAACAAUUGAUGUGAUGAGAGCUGUAGGGAAGUCCAGGGCAUAGCCAGUAACUGCUCACCUGCUAUGGACAUACGAAGGCACCAGCUCUGUGCUUUGCUCCUCUCAGCAGUGCCUCUUGUGAAGUGGUCCCCAGUUAUGACAGCCCUGUGCAUGGAAGCCAAGGUGAGACAAGAAACUAGCAAAAGGCUGAAUCAAAGAGCAUUUAUCUCACAAAUUAGAAAGUCAAAUUCUAAGAGGAUUUUUAAAACUUGAUUAAA
This is a non-coding RNA of Callorhinus ursinus (northern fur seal), 2648 nucleotides long. NCBI's taxonomy places the organism in Eukaryota, Metazoa, Chordata, Mammalia, Carnivora, Otariidae. The record is from RefSeq and is a predicted model, not a curated record.